UAGCCCCCUCCCUCCUAGCCAUUUUGGACCAAUUGGAAAGUCUUGGAGAGGGUCUUGGUGGAUCAUUGGAGGCCAUGGGAUUAUACUUGGCUUAGGAUAGCCUUGAAAGAUAUUUGUUGUGGAAAAUCAAGGCUUUGUGGAGCCCUCACUUCUCACUCUUAUCCAUCUCUCUCUCCCCUCUACCGCUCCAUUGGACGACCUCAGCCAGCGGAAGAGAGAAACUGACGCUGCUUCUCCAUCCGUGUCUUCUGCCGAGCGUCCACCAAACUGCCCGAGAAGCUCAGCAUCCGCCGAAUUCUCCACCGCUUCGUGUCUUCAGCCAGCUCACGCUCGGUCAACAACGAAACCAGAAGAAGCCCCGUCGUUGACUGAAGAUCCUCACCGCACGAAGUCAAGACCGCCUGUUUCUCCACUAUCUUCUUGCGCCUUCUGCCCCCAAAGACCCGAGCUCCACGCGGCUUCAAUUUUCGUGAAGCCUUGCUGACCGAAGACUCCACCGAGCUUUCUUCAUGCCGCCACGAGUCCAACGUCUUCAGCCCGUGCAUCUCGUGGAGUCCAUGAAGACCGAGCAACCCAGUUGCUGAUCGCCCCGUCACCACACGUCCGUGAAGAUCAAACCCCACCGAACGAAACAGCUUGUCUCCACGCCAGCAUGCUAGUCAACUCCAACGCCCACGGAAGACCACCGAUUCAACCAAGUCUUCAUCUGCGAAAUCCUCCGAGCAUCCUCACGCCGCCAGCAACAUCCACCGAGCAACACCACCGAAGAGAAGCCGCACGUAUCCACCGAAUUCUGCCGUUUGUCCGUGCUUCCCUCCACGCGUCCGAGCCCCAACUCAUUCGGUCCAUCAUCUCGCCGUGAAACCUCGAGAUCCACCGAGUUGCCAACCGUUGCCAGCGUCUUCGGUCUCCUCAGUCAGCGAAUCCAGCUGCCUGAAGCCCAACAAAUCCUGCAGUUUCAGUCUUCUUUUGUUCGUGGGCCAACCACAGCGAGCCCAUUCCAUUUUUCAGUGGCCCAACGUCAACUCUUUGGAAGCCUGUGAUCAAGCAGCCCACAAGCCCAGUUCAGUUCAAUGACAACCCAGACCACCGAUUUGUUGGGCCAAGCUUAAGGCCUGGUCCAAGUCCGCCAGUGUCGUCGAAAGUCCGAUUUCGGCCGCCAUCGUGUCGCCGUUGCGGUGAUUCGAUCUCCGCUUUCGUCAAGUGAGUUUUACUCACUAAUGCUUUAUUAGUUUGCUAAAUUCGUUUAGGGGUUGGUUAGAUUUAAUUAAAUGCAAUUAGGUGGUUAGAUUAGUUUAGAUCAAUUAAAUUAGAGACUUAAUGAUGCAUGUUAGGUGGUUAUAAAUAGACAUUAGCAAGAGGACAUGCCAUGUUAUUUAUGGAACGAGUCUCGGUAAUUUUCCGGGUUCGUAUCGGCUUCCAAUUAGGCUAUAACGGGCCUAAGUUGGAUUUAUUGCAUUUAUUUAAUAUUUUUCGUAAUUAUUUAAUUAUUUAUUUAUUUUCCGGAAAUUAGGCUGGGAUAUCCGACGACCGAAAUUUUGUGCUGAUUCCAAUGGUGCUUUCUGUUUAUUUAUUCGAGAAUCAGAUUAUGAAAUUUUUGUGAAAUUGGUGAAUAUGAGAAUUGUCCCAAAAUUGGGAAAAUGUCAGUACUUGAAGGGAAAGUAACUGUGUGAGGUUGUGAGUUGGAUUAAAAAUUGCCAGGUGGGGCCGUGAUGCCACCAAGUUGAGAAAAAUUGCCAGGUGGGGCCGUGAUGCCACCAAAUCUAGAACAUUUGCCAGGUGGGGCCGUGAUGCCACCAAGUUUAGAAAAUUUGCCGAGUGGGGCCGUGAUUCCACUAAAAAUAAAUUAUGCCUAUAGGGUUGUGAUUCAGAGUCAAGAAUGAAGAGUCGGGAUGACCGUGUAAUGUUUUGAUGACAUGUAAUCGACUGAGUCGAUUGAUCGUUAAUCCGAUCUGAUUGGGUGAUGUGAUGUGAUGAUGUAUACUUGAUAUAUAUACAUACUAACUUGCAGGAAGGAGCUGAGGCCAAGGUAAGCCCUCUGGCUCAUGAUGUGCUUAGGCAGCCCUCAAGGCGUAUUAGUUUACUAAUCGAGUCGUAGGGGGUAGGACUCGCUGAGACGUGGUCUCAUUGGUUAUUGAAUAACCAUUUCAGGAACCUGAGGAGAAGCUAAGGAAGAGGAACCUGAAGGGGAGAAAGACUUUUGAAGAAGAAGAUGAUCCAGAGAGGGAUCUUAAAUAUAACCCGUAUGUGGACUGAGAUCCCAUCCCUUUUGUAAACCCUGUCUUAGUAUAGAUAGGUGUGAGACAAGUAUGUUGUGAAUAGUAUUGUAAAUAUACUAUGAGUUGUGAUGUUAAUGAAAGUGUGGUUAUGAAUUUCAAUAUGAAAAAUAUGGC
This 2393-nucleotide long non-coding RNA is filed under the name Eucalyptus grandis. Its description in RNAcentral is "long non-coding RNA (EGRA_LNC004241)". Lineage: Eukaryota; Viridiplantae; Streptophyta; Magnoliopsida; Myrtales; Myrtaceae. The record is from RNAcentral.